CAAAGCGUAGCUUAUAUAAAGCAUCUGGCCUACACCCCGAAGAUUCCAUUCACUAAGGACGCUCUGA
Molecule: transfer RNA, 67 nt
Filed under: Nannospalax ehrenbergi (Ehrenberg's mole-rat)
Lineage: Eukaryota; Metazoa; Chordata; Mammalia; Rodentia; Spalacidae
Description: tRNA-Val
Source: RNAcentral